Molecule: ribosomal RNA, 389 nt
Filed under: uncultured bacterium
Lineage: Bacteria
Description: bacterial SSU rRNA
Rfam family: Bacterial small subunit ribosomal RNA
Source: RNAcentral
AACGAACGCUGGCGGCAGGCCUAACACAUGCAAGCCGAACGCGCGUAGCAAUACGCGAGUGGCGCACGGGUGAGUAACACGUGGGAACCAACCCAGAGGUUCGGAAUAACCGCGGGAAACUGCGGCUAAUACCGGAUGUCCCCCAUGGGGGAAAGAUUUAUCGCCUCUGGACGGGCCCGCGUCCGAUUAGCUAGUUGGUGAGGUAACGGCUCACCAAGGCUACGAUCCGUAACUGGUCUGAGAGGACGACCAGUCACACCGGAACUGAGACACGGUCCGGACUCCUACGGGAGGCAGCAGUGGGGAAUAUUGGACAAUGGGCGAAAGCCUGAUCCAGCGACGCCGCGUGGGUGAAGAAGGCCUGCGGGUUGUAAAGCCCUUUCAGUGGG